UAGCGACUCUCGGCAACGGAUAUCUCGGCUCUCGCAUCGAUGAAAAACGUAGCGAAAUGCGAUACUUGGUGUGAAUUGCAGAAUCCCGUGAACCAUCGAGUCUUUGAACUCAAGUUGCGCCCGAAGCCUUCGGGCCGAGGGUACGUCUGCCUGGGCGUCACG
RNAcentral lists this ribosomal RNA (162 nucleotides) under Cylindropuntia thurberi. RNAcentral's name for it is "5.8S ribosomal RNA". It matches the Rfam family "5.8S ribosomal RNA". From Rfam's summary of the family: 5.8S ribosomal RNA (5.8S rRNA) is a component of the large subunit of the eukaryotic ribosome. Lineage: Eukaryota; Viridiplantae; Streptophyta; Magnoliopsida; Caryophyllales; Cactaceae. The record is from RNAcentral.